This 467-nucleotide ribosomal RNA is filed under the name uncultured bacterium. RNAcentral's name for it is "partial 16S ribosomal RNA". It matches the Rfam family "Bacterial small subunit ribosomal RNA", at positions 29 to 507 of the family's 1533-position model. The record is from RNAcentral.
ACGAACGCCGGCGGCGUGCUUAACCCAUGCAAGUCGAACGGAAAGGCCCUGCUUUUGUGGGGUGCUCGAGUGGCGAACGGGUGAGUAACACGUGAGUAACCUGCCCUUGACUUUGGGAUAACUUCAGGAAACUGGGGCUAAUACCGGAUAGGAGCUCCUGCUGCAUGGUGGGGGUUGGAAAGUUUCGGCGGUUGGGGAUGGACUCGCGGCUUAUCAGCUUGUUGGUGGGGUAGUGGCUUACCAAGGCUUUGACGGGUAGCCGGCCUGAGAGGGUGACCGGCCACAUUGGGACUGAGAUACGGCCCAGACUCCUACGGGAGGCAGCAGUGGGGAAUAUUGCACAAUGGGCGGAAGCCUGAUGCAGCAACGCCGCGUGCGGGAUGACGGCCUUCGGGUUGUAAACCGCUUUCGCCUGUGACGAAGCGUGAGUGACGGUAAUGGGUAAAGAAGCACCGGCUAACUACGUG